GCGGCAGUAGUAUAGUGGUUAGUAUAUGACGUUGCCAACGUUGUGACCCGAGUUCAAAUCUCGGCUGCCGCA
RNAcentral lists this transfer RNA (72 nucleotides) under Candidatus Woesearchaeota archaeon B3_Woes. RNAcentral's name for it is "tRNA-Gly". It matches the Rfam family "tRNA". Rfam says of the family: Transfer RNA (tRNA) molecules are approximately 80 nucleotides in length. Their secondary structure includes four short double-helical elements and three loops (D, anti-codon, and T loops). Lineage: Archaea; Nanobdellati; Candidatus Woesearchaeota. RNAcentral also lists the same sequence under 1 other name. The record is from RNAcentral.